CCAAUAGCGUAUAUUAAAGUUGUUGCAGUUAAAAAGCUCGUAGUUGAAUUUUGGAUUCUUCCAAUUGGUCCAUCUUUUAGAUGAGUACUGAUUGUGUGGGGUCUAUCCGCCUGGUGAUACGUAAUGUCCUUUAUUGGAUGUUGCGGGUAGUCAGGACCUUUACCUUGAAAAAAUUAGAGUGUUUAAAGCAGGCUUAUGCCGGAAUACAUUAGCAUGGAAUAAUAGAAUAGGACGAAGUUGUUUUAUUUUGUUGGUUUCUAGGACAACCGUAAUGAUUAAUAGGGAUAGUUGGGGGCAUUAGUAUUCAAUUGUCAGAGGUGAAAUUCUUGGAUUUAUUGAAGACUAACUACUGCGAAAGCAUUUGCCAAGGAUGUUUUCAUUAAUCAAGAACGAAAGUUAGGGGAUCGAAGACGAUCAGAUACCGUCGUAGUCUUAACCAUAAACUAUGCCGACUAGGGAUCGGGCGAUGUUGUUUCCAUGACUCGCUCGGCACCUUAUG
Molecule: ribosomal RNA, 499 nt
Filed under: uncultured Glomeromycotina
Lineage: Eukaryota; Fungi; Glomeromycota
Description: partial small subunit ribosomal RNA
Rfam family: Eukaryotic small subunit ribosomal RNA
Source: RNAcentral